Molecule: ribosomal RNA, 253 nt
Filed under: uncultured bacterium
Lineage: Bacteria
Description: partial 16S ribosomal RNA
Rfam family: Bacterial small subunit ribosomal RNA
Source: RNAcentral
UACGAAGGGUGCAAGCGUUACUCGGAAUUACUGGGCGUAAAGGGCUCGUAGGCGGCCAACUAAGUCAGACGUGAAAUCCCUCAGCUUAACUGGGGAACUGCGUCUGAUACUGGAUGGCUUGGAUUCGGGAGAGGAAUGCGGAAUUCCAGGUGUAGCGGUGAAAUGCGUAGAUAUCUGGAGGAACACCGGUGGCGAAGGCGGCAUUCUGGACCGACAUUGACGCUGAGGAGCGAAAGCCAGGGGAGCAAACGGG